Molecule: ribosomal RNA, 479 nt
Filed under: uncultured Candida
Lineage: Eukaryota; Fungi; Ascomycota; Saccharomycetes; Saccharomycetales
Description: eukaryotic LSU rRNA
Rfam family: 5.8S ribosomal RNA (bases 160-313)
Source: RNAcentral
CUUGGUCAUUUAGAGGAAGUAAAAGUCGUAACAAGGUUUCCGUAGGUGAACCUGCGGAAGGAUCAUUAAAGUUUGCUUAAUUGCAUUACACAUGUUUUUUUAGAGAACUUGCUUGCAAGAACACUAAUAAUUUACUUAGUCAACAAAUAAAAAUAUCAAAACUUUCAACAACGGAUCUCUUGGUUCUCGCAUCGAUGAAGAACGCAGCGAAAUGCGAUACGUAAUAUGAAUUGCAGAUUUUCGUGAAUCAUCGAAUCUUUGAACGCACAUUGCGCCCUGUGGUAUUCCACAGGGCAUGCCUGUUUGAGCGUCAUUUCUCCCUCAAACCUCUGGUUUGGCGUUGAGUGAUACUCGGUUUACUUGAAAAACAUGAAAAGCAUAACUAUUAGGUUUUACCAACUCGUUAUACUAAUCUACAAGUUUGACCUCAAAUCAGGUAGGACUACCCGCUGAACUUAAGCAUAUCAAUAAGCGGAGGA